RNAcentral lists this ribosomal RNA (448 nucleotides) under uncultured Planctomycetota bacterium. RNAcentral describes it as "bacterial SSU rRNA". It matches the Rfam family "Bacterial small subunit ribosomal RNA", at positions 217 to 656 of the family's 1533-position model. The record is from RNAcentral. Lineage: Bacteria; Pseudomonadati; Planctomycetota.
GCUUAGAGAGGGGUCAAUGUCCUAUCAGCUAGUUGGUAAGGUAAUGGCUUACCAAGGCUAAGACGGGUAGCCGGCCUGAGAGGGUGGUCGGCCACACUGGGACUGAGACACUGCCCAGACUCCUACGGGAGGCUGCAGUCGAGAAUCUUUCGCAAUGCCCGAAAGGGUGACGAAGCGACGCCGCGUGUGGGAAGAAGGCCUUCGGGUUGUAAACCACUGUCGGAAGUUAAGAAAUGUAAGGGUGUUAAUAGCAUCCUUACUUGACUAAGGCUCCGGAGGAAGCCACGGCUAACUCUGUGCCAGCAGCCGCGGUAAUACAGAGGCGGCAAGCGUUGUUCGGAAUUAUUGGGCGUAAAGAGCACGUAGGCGGCUUUGUAAGUCAGUUGUGAAAGCCUUCCGCUUAACGGAAGAACAGCAUCUGAUACUGCAAGGCUAGAGUGCGGAAGGG